UACGAAGGGGGCUAGCGUUGCUCGGAAUCACUGGGCGUAAAGCGCACGUAGGCGGAUUGUUAAGUCAGGGGUGAAAUCCUGGAGCUCAACUCCAGAACUGCCUUUGAUACUGACGGUCUUGAGUUCGGGAGAGGUGAGUGGAACUGCGAGUGUAGAGGUGAAAUUCGUAGAUAUUCGCAAGAACACCAGUGGCGAAGGCGGCUCACUGGCCCGAUACUGACGCUGAGGCACGAAAGCGUGGGGAGCAAACAGG
Molecule: ribosomal RNA, 253 nt
Filed under: uncultured bacterium
Lineage: Bacteria
Description: partial 16S ribosomal RNA
Rfam family: Bacterial small subunit ribosomal RNA
Source: RNAcentral